RNAcentral lists this ribosomal RNA (384 nucleotides) under Punctum californicum. Its description in RNAcentral is "partial large subunit ribosomal RNA". It matches the Rfam family "Archaeal large subunit ribosomal RNA", at positions 1906 to 2672 of the family's 2987-position model. Lineage: Eukaryota; Metazoa; Mollusca; Gastropoda; Stylommatophora; Punctidae. The record is from RNAcentral.
CAUAGCUUAAUGAAUAUAUUAAGUACCCCCUGCCCAGUGAUUUUAACGGCCGCAGUACCUUGACUGUGCUAAGGUAGCAUAAUAAUUUGGCUUUUAAUUGAAGUCGGGAAUGAAUGGGAGACGGGAAAGUUGUCUCUUUAAGGGUAACUAAAUUUACUUAAUAGGUGAAAAUUCCUAUCUUUAUUAUUAGACGAGAAGACCCUUAGAAUUUUAAUUAUUUUUGUUGGGGCGACAAAGUUACAUUUAACUUACUACUAGUAAAAACAAGCCGAGGGUGAAUAAAUUACCUGAGGGAUAACAGCAUAAUUUUAAGAUUGUGACCUCGAUGUUGGAUUAGGAAAUAAUGGUUAACAACUUUUACUGUUCUGUUCGAACCCUACGUGA